Long non-coding RNA from Exaiptasia diaphana, 300 nucleotides. RefSeq lists it as uncharacterized. Lineage: Eukaryota; Metazoa; Cnidaria; Anthozoa; Actiniaria; Aiptasiidae. The transcript is spliced from 3 exons. The record is from RefSeq and is a predicted model, not a curated record.
AAGCUCUCAAAUCCUGAAUAGUUUUUGGGCUACGUUGAAACUCAAAGAUAAUAUUUAUUUGAAGCUAUCCGGAUAUUUAAUGGCUAAACAUCCAGGUUUGUUCAAAAUGAUUGCUUGUUGUGGCAAGGGUUGUGAAGUAUGGUGGAAGAGAGUAGAAGAACCAGGUCUUGAAGAUUAUGGAACAUCGAAGGAAUUGAUUAUUAAAUCCAAAUUAUGCACUGCGAUUAGAAGCAGGAACCCCAAGCAAGUCAAGAUCUUACUUAUUGCAUGCCAUGUGUACUAUCUUGAGAUGUAUACGAC